RNAcentral lists this ribosomal RNA (250 nucleotides) under uncultured bacterium. Its description in RNAcentral is "partial 16S ribosomal RNA". It matches the Rfam family "Bacterial small subunit ribosomal RNA", at positions 524 to 774 of the family's 1533-position model. The record is from RNAcentral.
UACGUAGGGGGCAAGCGUUGUCCGGAAUUAUUGGGCGUAAAGCGCGCGCAGGCGGUCGAUUAAGUUUGGUGUUUAAGGCUGAGGCUCAACCUCAGUUCGCACUGAAAACUGGUUGACUUGAGUACAGAAGAGGAAAGUGGAAUUCCACGUGUAGCGGUGAAAUGCGUAGAUAUGUGGAGGAACACCAGUGGCGAAGGCGACUUUCUGGGCUGUAACUGACGCUGAGGCGCGAAAGCGUGGGUAGCAAACA